UUUUCAUCUAUCUUUGUGUUUUCUCCUCUCCAUUGAUGCCGCUUCGAUUCUUUGAGGUAUGUUUAAGCUGGAAGAGGAAGAGAUGUCAGUCCCACAUUUUGAGUUUGCUGCUGGUGAAGGAUCUCAACCAGUGGAAGAAAAUGCUAAUGCUGUUGAUGCACCAAUAGUUGAUGAUCCGCCAUCAGUAAGGUUCACUUGGAAAAUAGAGAAUUUCUCAAAAUUCAACCAGAGCUCCUUCGUCUCCCUAUCGUUCUCACCCAGAACCCUACCUGCACCGCAUCUUUUUUAGCAAAUCAACAAUGACAUCCAGCACGGAUUUUACAUCAAUAUCUGAAAACUAGGACAAAAUGCCCUAGCCACCCCUUCAGCUAUGACGGCUAGGGUUCCGGUCAUUAGUCAUCCGUUUUUCGCUUCAGAAUCCAUGGUGUUUAGACGAUUGAUACGCUUGCUAAGAAAGAAAAUGUACUCUUGAAGAAAGAUGAUGCUGAGGUACAAAGGGCAAAGGAGUUUACCAAGGCCAAAAAUAAAAGGGGUUUUACAUGAAGGUGAUGUUCUAUAUGUUUUCCCGUUUCCGAGAGUUAAUAUUCACACACCGCUCCUCUUGAUCUCUUUCUCUAUAUAUCUAUGUAUAUAUAGAGAGAGAUAGAGUGGAAAAGGGCGUGAAAAUAAGAUAUAUGUGUGGGAAUAGUGAGAGCCUUUCAUAGAAGAUUAUCCUUCAAAGCUUAUAACCAGUAUUGCAGCCAUGGAUGUUGUUGGUUCUAAUGAAACUCUGGUGAAAGUUGAGUUUUAGCGUAUGACAUGGCGAACAUGGAAGAAUCGGCGAGUGCGUGACUGACUCCUUUAUUUGCUUCCCUUCUCAAGUCCGGCAUUCGGGUUUUCUAUUCAGUUGCAGGUGAUAUAUUUCAUGCAGCACAAAACAUUGAUCAUUCCCAGGAUUUUAUAAGAAAAGUUAUAAAAGAGUGGCUGAACUGGCUCAAGAACAAUAUUGGUUAUGAUGUUGGCGCCUUGACUUUGUGAGAGCAACUAAGAGAAAUACAUUGGGUCAAAUGAUUGUCCUUUACUUUUCAUUAACUCCUCCAAAGGUCGAUUAGUUAAUCACAAACUGAAUCCAUGGGAUUUGUAUGGUUUAAAUGCUUCACCCGGUCAGCAUCUUGGCUAUUAACAAUGAGGAUAUAGAUGAGUUAGUCUCUUAUUAUUUUUCUAAACCAGAUUUCUUUAAGGCUUAUUUAUGUUGGUUAGAUGAUCUAUGUUCAGCUUUAUAUAAGUUGCAACAGUUAGAAGGAUUUUGUUCUUGAUCUGUCACCCAAAGUUAUGAUUCCUAGCAUGGAGCAAAGAAUCCGUUUUCUAAAUGAGCAGGUUGUCAUAAUUUCUACUCAAAUUAGUUAUAUUUUAAUUUUGAAUUCGGACUCAUCUUCAUUAUGUAUGCCAUUAUAGGUCUCUACAAAUAUAAUAUAAAAGAUAUUAUAAAAUUAAAUGGUAAAGCCUUUGUACAUUGUUCAACCGUUGUUUAC
Molecule: long non-coding RNA, 1511 nt
Filed under: Helianthus annuus (common sunflower)
Lineage: Eukaryota; Viridiplantae; Streptophyta; Magnoliopsida; Asterales; Asteraceae
Source: RNAcentral